Hypanus sabinus (Atlantic stingray) is the source of this 5646-nucleotide long non-coding RNA. RefSeq lists it as uncharacterized. The record is from RefSeq and is a predicted model, not a curated record. Lineage: Eukaryota; Metazoa; Chordata; Chondrichthyes; Myliobatiformes; Dasyatidae. The transcript is spliced from 4 exons.
UAUCAGGGGGCACUUUGGCGACAGAGGCUAUCACUGAAGAUACUACUCUGCUUUUGGAAACUCCUGUUUCUCAAUCACGCUUUCCUCCUUUCUAACUUCUCUGAGUAACUCCGUAAAAGAUGGAGUGCACAUCCUGCAGAUCAUUCAGACCCAUAGAGCAAUCACAGCGUGUGGCAGUGUCCUUCACAACAUUCUCCAUCCUCAAGCAAUUUCUCUCAAGACAGUUGAAUGCCCCUUUUGUGGUACAAACAAUGCAGCAGUUUCUCCAACAUAAAAAUGUAGGCGGACAGCAUUUGUUCUUCCUGGAACGUAAGCCCAAACUUCAUCAUCGGAUUGGCUGCACUUUCAGCAGUGCCAAAAGCAUCUUCCAGAGCUUGCAGGUAAGUAGCUGAUGUGGGGAAUGGGUUUUCUGUCUUUAGCAGCCUCACUAUAUCAGCCGCUGGACCCUUUAAGCUCUCGACCAGUGUCUUUUUUUUCCAAAUCAUCUGAGCACUGCCAUUCAUUCAGUAACUGAGAUGUCUGCUCAGCCCCAGCCUCAUAUUUUUCUACCCCAUUGGUUGUGGGCUUGACUCCAGAGAACACUUCCAGCCUACAAUAACUGGCUCUUUGCAGAUACAUUUCUGCAUUUGAUAACCAGCUGGAAUAUCCAAAACCAACUCGGAAAUCAACCUCUGAAGGACCCAUUAGAGCUUUCACAUCAGACAACUCCUUUCCCUCACUUCGCAGAAAUGAGAACAACUUGUUUUUAAAGUUUUCACCCUCGGCUACAUACCCCUGUUCUCGAAAACUAUUGACUGCCCAUGGCUCCACCUCUUUAGGAUCUCCCAACCUAUCAGGCAGCAGGACUUCAGUCACAUCACAGCUGGUCUGGACUAACAUGACAUCCUUCCCUGCAAAGUGGCAUUCACUCAGUGUUCCCUAAGCCCUGAAAAAAAACUUAGCACUCUGAACACAGGUUCAUCACAGAUUUGGACAUCCACUCUGCUCAAGCAUCGUUUGUAGAUAAUCUCUGAAUUGGACCAACCCUUUCUCUGCAGCGUCCAAUAAUAACGUACCUUACUCACUUUCCCUGAUGUUAGUUUAAACUAGUGGUUGCUAACCAGUCGAUCUUUGAGACUUUCCCAGUAGAUCCCAAAAAAUAAUGAAAAAUAAAUACAAAUACAUUAUACCUGAUAAACCUUUUGAUGCUAAAGCAAAUUUUACCCCUAGAGCCGUUUUCAACCCACACUUAGUUGCUUCCCCUGGUUAUUGUGUUUUUCUUUUUCCACUGCCCAGCAUCAUGCGUCACGUGUGUGACAUCAUGUGACAAUUGCCACCGUCUGUCAAAUUUCCAUGGAGCGUGGGAGAGCUUAGAUUAUCUCAAACAUAAAUAAACGGGCAAACUGUCCAACGGCGAAAGAAGUCACCACGUGUGGGUAAAGAUGACUCACUUAUGCAAUCAUGACUUAACUAAAAUCUGAUCAACUUUAAUCGGUUUUGAUUCUACUAUGCUGCUACUUAUAUUGCGUCAGUUAUGCAAAAGUUUGAUCAGUUGUACUGCUCUUUCUUUCUUCAAAUUCUUUGAUAGAGUGAAUUCAUGUUUAGCAUUUCAAAUAGUGUGCUAGUAAUUAGCAUGAAUUUUAGUUUUUACUGAAAAGUUAGCGCCCCUCUCUCUCUUUUGAUUUAGCUGUUUUUUCAGCGUAACUUGUGCUGCAUCAAAGUGACCAGUGAGAUUAGAUAAGAGUACAGAUUGUCGCAAGCAUCACUAUAACACACUCGCUGGUGAUAUCCUGCAAGGUGGCUAGCUAGCAUGGCAAAGGCGAAAGUUGAGGAGCUGAAAUCGGGGUUGAAGGCCCAGCAAUCAUUUUUCACAAAACAUACUGCCCAAAUAAGGCUGCUAUUGAAGCAUCAUUUCGUGUAAGUCACCUUUUGGCUAAACACAAGAAUAUUGAUAUUGAUAUUGAAAUGGAAAUAAUUGAUUUGCAAAAUGACAUCAAGCUUAAAGCAAGAUCAAAGGGCAGUGACUUUUGGGGGCUUGUCAGCAGGGAAAAGCUUCCUCAUCUCACUACACGUGUACUAAAAGUCCGUGCCUACUCCAGGUCAACUUACCUGUGUGAAAUUGCAUUUUCACAGAUGAAAAUUAUUAAAUCUAAGUACAGGAGCUGUCUUACUGACAGACACCUCACAGACAGUCCUCAGACUGGCUGUCUGCAGUUAUAGAGCUAAAUUUCAGGGAACUAGCAGAAAGUAUUCAGCCCCAGUCAUCAGACUGAGAGCAACAGUCAAUUUUUAUACAUUUUUUUUGUGUUGAAAUAAAAUUAAAUAAUGAAACUUGGAAUUAAAGGUAUGAAGUAUUGUAAUAUUCUUAAAGAAAGAUGGCUAUGCCCCAUUUAAUAUGCUAAUUAUUGUUUUCUUGGUUGAAUUAAUUUGAAAGUUUGACAAAAGCAUUUUAUGUAAUUCAAAUACAAUUAGCCCAAAUAAAAGGCCUCAAGUUGGAAGUACAAUCUGAGCUGUUUUUUCUCUAAAUGAUUUAGUAGGUCGAUCGUGCCUUUCACUAAGGCCAAGGUAGGGGAUUUUGGGCUUAAAAAGGUUGGUGACCACUAGUUUAAACAUGCUUAAACAUACAAACCGCUUAAUCAUUUCUUAACAGCAGUGAAUCCCAGAUGAACCCCUACUGUAUUUCAUCUACCAUGUCUUUGCCCAUUCUCCUAAACUUUUUAACUUUUACUGUAGCCUCUCUGCUUUAACACUACCUGCCCCACCACCCACCUUUAUAAUGUCCACAAACUUAGCCACAAAGCCAUCAAAUCCAUCUCCCUCUGGUGCUCCCUCUCCCCCUUUCUUUCUCCCUAGGCCUCCUGUCCCAUGAUCCUUUCCCUUCUCCAGCUCUGUAUCACUUUUGCCAAUCACCUUUCCAGCUCUUAGCUUCAUCCCACCCCCUCCGGUCUUCUCCUAUCAUUUCGCAUUUCCCCCUCCCCCCACUACUUUCAAAUCUCUUACUAUCUUUCCUUUCAGUUAGUCCUGACGAAGGGUCUCGGCCGGAAACGUCGACAGUGCUUCUCCCUAUAGAUGCUGCCUGGCCUGCUGCGUUCCACCAGCAUUUUGUGUGUGUUGUUGUUUGAAUUUCCAGCAUUUGCAGAUUUCCUUGUGUUUGCUCUUUAAAUUCCAUCAUCAUUGACAUAAAUUGCAAAAAGAAACAGUCCCAACACAGACCCGUGUAGAACACAACUUGUCACCAGCAGCCAACAAGAGAUGGCUCCCUUUAUUCACACUCCUUUUCUCCUGCCCAUCAGCCAAUGCUCUCUUCAGGCCAACAUCUUUCCUGUAAUACCACAGGCUCUUGUUAAGCAGCUUCAUAUGUGGCAUCUAGUCAAAGGCCAUCUGAAAACCCAAGUACACAACAUCUACCAAUUCUUCUUUGUCUAUACUGCUUGUUAUCUCUUCAAAAAAUUCCAACAGAUUUGUCAGGCAAGAAUUUCCUUUAAAGAAAACCUGCUGACUUUGGUCUUUUUUAUUUUGCGUCUCCAAGUACAGUUGGCCCUCCUUAUCUGCGAGGGAUUGGUUCCGGGACUCCUCGCGGAUACCAAAAUUCGCAGAUGCUCAAGUCCCUAAUUCAGCCUGUAUCAAUACGGCGUAUUUUAGGACCCAGCGGAACCCAAGACCUUAUUUAACCUGUCUCAGUGCGAUGGACAUUAGGAUCCAGCGGCAGAGAUCUGAAUCCGCAGCGUUUCUGUUCACGAAAAUAAUCACGAUAACGAUUGAAAAUAAAGUGUGCUUCCCCUGUCCAUACCUUCCUGGUCCUCACUACAGCUGCUGCAGCCUUCAGUCCCUGCCUAUACUCAGGGAGUAGAAGUACAGCCAAGUGAUCAGAUGUCCCGAAGUGAGGGCGUAGAAUAGCACGACUUGCCUGGUUAAAAUCUAAAACAAUGGUGAAGGCGUUAGGGUGCACUGUUUCGUGAAUGUUGAUCAAUUGCUCAGAUCAUCUAAAGCCUGACCGACAUUGGCCUGAGGUGGAAUGUAUACCACUCCCGAAAUGACCCCGGAGAACUUCCAUAGAAGACUGAGCAGGUGAACGGCUUCUCCCCAGUGUGAACUUGCUGGUGUCUCACUAGAAUCGAUGCCAAAGUGAAUCCCAUCCCACAGUCUGAACAGGUAAAUGGCCGCUCCCCGGUGUGAACUCGCUGGUGAGCCAUUAGGUCACAUGGCCGAGUGAAUCCCUUCCCACAGUCUGAGCAGGUGAAUGGCACCUCCCCAGUGUGAACUAACUGUUGUACCUUCAGUUGAAAUGACUGAGAAUUCCUUCCCACAGCCUGAGCAGGUGAAUGGCUUUUCCCUAGUGUGAAUUUGUUUAUUUGUCAACAGAUCAGAUGACUGAGUGAAUGUCUUCCCACACGCAGAACAGUUGAAAAGUCUCUUUCCCUUGUGAACUCAUUGGUCUGUCUGUGGGUUGGCUGAGUGAGUGAAUCUGCUCUCCGACACAGAGCAGGUGAAUGGCCUCUCACUGGUGUGUAUCAUCACCUUGGAUGACAGAAAGAAUCACUUCCCACAGUCCGAACAGGUGAACCCUCUCCCUGUGGUGUGAACUUGCUGAUGUAUCUUCAGGUUGGACUACUGAGUAGAUCCCGUCCCACACACAGAGCAGGUGACUGGCCUCUCCCCACUGCAAAACUCACUAGUGUGUUAUUGGAUCAUCUCACACACAGAGCAGGUGACUGGCCUCUCCCAACAUGUGAACUCACUGGUGUGUUUGCUGUUCGACUGAGUGAGAGAAUCCCUUGUUGUUGUGUUUGAGAUUCCACUACACACAGUCUUUGCUGUUUCUAACCUGUAAAAAGAUUCACAAAAGGCAUCAAUGGGAGAAGAACAACAUUUCAAAUGAGAAUUUUUGUCCCUAUGCUGAGUUCUGACAUCACACUGUUACAGUGAGGUUCAACACAGGUCGGAGGAACAAUUCCCCAUCUCCUAACUAGACACAGCUCAGACAUCAGUACUGACCAUCAAAUUAUCUGAAUAUUUACUGUCUGCAUCAUAAUGGGCCAUGUCUGUGUCUUCAAACUGUGACUUAGCUCAGUAUUCUCCAAUAGAAUUAUUUUAAUUUUACAUCAUGUCCCACAGAGACUACAAGAUAUUACAUGGCUGCUCCUGGAGACUUUCUGAUUAAUCUGACUGCACCUCUGGUGAUAGACGGAGGUUUAACUAGAAAGGAUUGAAGGUAGUGGAGAAGGAAAGGUCAGUGCCUUUAAGCCGUUCUGUUUCGUGAAUUCUUCGUGGGAAGAUCGACGUCGGGGAUCGAAGCAAGCGACGUGAAAGAGAAUUUAAAUCGUCCUAUAAAGUCUCUCCUUUUAAAUGGACUGUGAGCAUAUCGAACUUUUGGCAAUACCACUUUUAAGAACUGUUUUUGGAAUAUCACUUUAAGAACUGUUUGGGCUGCCGCUCAGCAGCUGUUUCCGGUUACGGUAGUGUUUGGUUACUUUUGGGGGGUUUGCUUUCUGUGUUUAAUAAACGUGUUGUUUGUUAUAAGAAACCCUUGCCGAUCUCAUAUAUUUAUUGUUGCCUGAAUACGUAACAUUAAAUAUGGGGGCUGCGUCUGGAUUGAAUCAUUUGAGUUUAAAUGCUUGCUAACUUUUAAAUCGGUGUUUUGGAAACGGGGAUUACUCGGUUCUUUUG